This 500-nucleotide ribosomal RNA is filed under the name uncultured bacterium. RNAcentral describes it as "partial 16S ribosomal RNA". It matches the Rfam family "Bacterial small subunit ribosomal RNA", at positions 30 to 523 of the family's 1533-position model. The record is from RNAcentral.
AUUGAACGCUGGCGGAAUGCUUUACACAUGCAAGUCGAACGGCAGCACGGACUUCGGCCUGGUGGCGAGUGGCGAACGGGUGAGUAAUGUAUCGGAACGUGCCCAGUCGUGGGGGAUAACGUAGUGAAAAUUACGCUAAUACCGCAUACGAUCUAUGGAUGAAAGCGGGGGAUCGCAAGACCUCGCGCGAUUGGAGCGGCCGAUAUCAGAUUAGGUAGUUGGUGGGGUAAAGGCCCACCAAGCCAACGAUCUAUAGCUGGUCUGAGAGGACGACCGGCCACACUGGAACUGGGUCACGGUCCAGACUCCUACGGGAGGCAGCAGUGGGGAAUUUUGGACAAUGGGCGAAAGCCUGAUCCAGCCAUUCCGCGUGCAGGAUGAAGGCCCUCGGGUUGUAAACUGCUUUUGUACAGAACGAAAAGGUUUCUACUAAUACUAGGAGCUCAUGACGGUACUGUAAGAAUAAGCACCGGCUAACUACGUGCCAGCAGCCGCGGUAA